UGGAUGUCGGAACUCUGUUAUUGUUGAUAACUUUCUUAUUAAUUAAAACACAAUUAAAGCACACCAAUUUUGCCUCACGACAAUGCUGGAUGUAUAACAGCGAAGUGGUCUUUUCUUCUAAGGGUUGAGGGUUGUUGCGACGGCGAAUGAAAUCCUCUCGCCAUUUUUAGGGUUUAUCGUUGCGAGCUCUCUGGCCGAGAUUGCAACCCUGCUCUACCAGAUAACGCGUUACAACAGCCAACCAGGGGAUGUCAUAAUCUGCGCAAUUUGGUUAUUCAUCUGCGGUGGUUCGAUCGGGGUGCUGUUCUGGUUCGCUGUCCAGAUUCACGAACAGGCACAUGAUGCAGAAAAUUACGUUCAUGACAUUUCUGUUUGGGAUCAAUCGGAGGAAGGAACCCCAAUACAGGUGAUGCUAUUUUUGGCCAAACUUCACGGCAAACCCACCGCUCUGACCGUCUGGAGUUGGGCAGCGAUAACAAGAGAUUUUGUUCUUACGGUAAUCGGGAUCUUGGCCUCGUAUUUCGUCAUUGUUGCCCAAACUUUCCCUUCUUAGCUGCAACCUUUAGGCCUGCUUCGAGGAGAAACUCAAGGAGCGGACGGGUGGCGAGUCCAACAAUCCAGACAAGAUUGAUUCCACCACCAACCCUUAAGUAAGCUAUCGGAUACAAAGGCAUGCGCUAAACACCGCACUAAGGCCAGCAAAAGUGUGACGUUUAGCUCAGGCCUAAGUAACGGCACUUUUAUAUUUAUUUCACUGGAGUGUUUUCUUUAAAGUACAAUAUCUUAAGGGGAAGUCAUAGUCAUUGAUGUCCUAGACUGGACCAUGCCAUUAUAUCUAAGGUGGGGUCGUCAGACCCCAGAAAAUGUGCAAGUUUUCUUUUGAGGGACUGACAAAUAUUUUCAGUAUCAGGUAAUCAGCCACGAAGGAAACUGACUGCUGGGUGAGUUUUAACUUUGGGUAUUAACAUUUAGGACAAAUUUACUGGAGCGACCCAAAUGCAUUUUUAUUCCAGUCAUAUUUUAGUGCGCAAAAUUGUACUGACAUAAACCUACCAAGAUCAAACCCUCUGAUUAAUUGGAUUCAUCUGCUCUGAAGUGUUUGGCUGGCAGUUUUCAAUACCCGGUCCCUCUGUCAAUAGACUUGUGGAGAAGUCAAUGGUCUGCUGCGGUGAGAUAGUCGAGUUGUGGCGGUGCUCUCGGAGAUCACUGCUCUCGCGCGAAAUGCUGGUUGCCGACUUCUACUCACCGUUAAAUUGGACCGUAGGGCGCCUAUGGCGCUCUAUAAUCUUUGGACCGUAGUCGUGAGAGCAGUAGUCUCACGGGGCCAGCAGUCUCGCGAGAAUACCGCGGGAACCGCGGAAUUUGGAAUGAUAUCACCGCGACAGACAUUUAACGACUGUCCACAAGUCUACUCUUUCAAUCGAACUUUGGGACCAACUUCGGAGCCAGUAUUACUGGUGGAAUCUUCUGGAAUGUGUGUGAUUCAUGAGGUUACUCCACACACUUAAGGAGUAUGGAAUGUCCAAUGUCCGUCUUAUGUAUCUCAGUUAGGAAACCGUUUCUUAUCACAAAAACACAAACAGAAAGUUAUGAAAAAAUGUCGCACACCGUUCUAAUACAGUUGCCCGUAUAUCGACCAACUUAUACUGAAACAAAACAACUUAGUCUCCCAGUAAAAUCAAUUUGCUGACAUCUGUAUACUAUUUUGCUUUUCAAACUCUGGAAGUUUGAGUUACCUCUAAAUCCUUCUCAAGAGUAACACACACACGUCCGAACAGAGCUGGCUAGACGGGGAAAGAGAUCGCGCAGGGCACUGUCUCACCCAAAUAUUUGUUGUCGAAAAUAGGGUAAAAUAGAAUAAAUCAUAAGUGUUGCAUUUUUGUCUAAAUUUAGCUUGAAUCCGAUAAACUCACAUGGAGUAAAAAGCCUGGCAUUAGGCGAAAAUUGACUUAGAUCAGAUACAAUGAUCACAAGGGCGCCACCUACCGACACAGAAAUCCGUUUGAUGUACCAGAAUGUACACGAUGUACAUAUUAUUUUAUUCACUACAUAAUGUAUUUAUUUAUAUUAUACUACAUGUACAUGUAAUGAUAUUCUGGCAUGAUAUUUCCCCAGUAAUUUCCGCAUUUUUUAAUUCCGAGGCCUCGAAAAUCAAAUUUGUGGAAAACUACUUCUUUCUCGAAACUACGUUACUUCAGAGGGAGCCGUUUCUCAC
Asterias rubens (European starfish) is the source of this 2215-nucleotide long non-coding RNA. RefSeq lists it as uncharacterized. Lineage: Eukaryota; Metazoa; Echinodermata; Asteroidea; Forcipulatida; Asteriidae. The transcript has 5 exons. The record is from RefSeq and is a predicted model, not a curated record.